This 462-nucleotide ribosomal RNA is filed under the name uncultured bacterium. Its description in RNAcentral is "bacterial SSU rRNA". It matches the Rfam family "Bacterial small subunit ribosomal RNA", at positions 338 to 795 of the family's 1533-position model. The record is from RNAcentral.
CCUACGGGGGGCUGCAGUCGAGAAUCUUCGGCAAUGGGCGCAAGCCUGACCGAGCGACGCCGCGUGCGGGAUGAAGGCCUUCGGGUUGUAAACCGCUGUCGGAGGGGAGGAAAUGCUAUGAGGUACUCCUCAUAGUUUGACCUAGCCUCAAAGGAAGGACGGGCUAAGUUCGUGCCAGCAGCCGCGGUAAGACGAACCGUCCAAACGUUAUUCGGAAUCACUGGGCUUAAAGGGUGCGUAGGCGGCCCUGAAAGUUGGGUGUGAAAUCCCUCGGCUCAACCGAGGAACUGCGCUCAAAACUACAGGGCUUGAGGGAGACAGAGGUGAGCGGAACUUGCGGUGGAGCGGUGAAAUGCGUUGAUAUCGCAAGGAACACCAGUGGCGUAAGCGGCUCACUGGGUCUCUUCUGACGCUGAGGCACGAAAGCUAGGGGAGCGAACGGGAUUAGAUACCCGAGUAGUC